UACGAAGGGGGCUAGCGUUGCUCGGAAUUACUGGGCGUAAAGCGCACGUAGGCGGCUUCUUAAGUCGGUGGUGAAAUCCUGGAGCUCAACUCCAGAACUGCCUUCGAUACUGGGAGCUCGAGUCCGGGAGAGGUGAGUGGGAACUGCGAGUGUAGAGGUGAAAUUCGUAGAUAUUCGCAAGAACACCAGUGGCGAAGGCGGCUCACUGGCCCGGUACUGGACGCUGAGGUGCGAAAGCG
Molecule: ribosomal RNA, 239 nt
Filed under: uncultured bacterium
Lineage: Bacteria
Description: partial 16S ribosomal RNA
Rfam family: Bacterial small subunit ribosomal RNA
Source: RNAcentral